AUGGAGUGGAGCGGAGGCCUGGCGGAGCGGCCGGGCCGCGGGCGGCGGGUGCUGGUGGUGGGCGGCGGCAUCGCGGGGCUGGGCGCCGCGCAGAGGCUCCGCGCGCACCCGGCCUUCUCGCAGCUGCGGGUCCUGGAGGCCACGGCCCGCGCCGGCGGCCGCAUCCGCUCGGAGCGCGGCUUCGGUGGCGUGCUGGAGCUGGGCGCGCACUGGAUCCACGGGCCCUCCCGCGGCAACCCCGUCUUUGAGCUGGCGGCCGAGCACCGGCUGCUGCGGGAGAAGGACUUGUCGGAGGAGAACCAGCGGAUGGAGACGGGCGGGCACGUGGGCCUGCCCUCGGUGACCUACGCCAGCUCCGGGGUCAGCGUGAGCCGCGAGCUGGUGGUGGAGACGGCGAGUCUGUUCCACAGCCUCAUAGACCAGGCCCGCGAGUUCGUGCGUGGGGCCGCCGCGCCCGCGCCCAGCGUGGGGGAGUACGUGAGGGGCGCGCUCAGGGCGCUGGCGGCCGGCUGGACGGACCGCGAGGAUGCCAGGAGGCUGCGGCUCGCCCUGAUGCACAACUUUCUCAACGUGGAGUGCUGCGUGAGUGGAACCCACAGCAUGGACCUCGUGGCCCUGGCGCCCUUCGGGGAGUACACCGUGCUGCCCGGGCUGGACUGCACCUUUCCUGGGGGUUAUCAGGGCCUCACAAACCACAUAAUGGCCUCCUUGCCAGAGGAUAUGAUCAUUUUUAACAAGCCUGUGAAGACCAUUCACUGGAACGGGUCCUUCCAGGAGGCCGCGUCUCCUGGGGAGACGUUUCCCGUGUUGGUGGAGUGUGAGGAUGGAGGCUGCUUCCCUGCGCAUCAUGUCAUCGUCACCGUGCCCUUAGGUUUUCUUAAGGAACAUGUGGACACCUUCUUUGAGCCACCACUGCCCACGGAGAAGGCCGACGCAAUCAGGAAACUGGGCUUUGGGACGAACAAUAAAAUCUUCCUGGAGUUCGAGGAGCCCUUCUGGGAGCCAGGCUGCCAGCACAUCCAGGUGGUGUGGGAGGACAUGUCGCCCCUGGAGGAUGUCGCCUCUCAGCUGCAGGACGUCUGGUUCAAGAAGCUCAUUGGCUUUUGGGUCCUGCCUUCCUUUGAUGAGGAGAGUGGCGAUGCUGCGCUUUUCUCCUGCUGUCUUUACGGCCUGGCUCAAUAGCAGAGGCUCCGUUGUCCCGCUGCUGGCACGCGGUGGUGCUGAGCUUCGUUCCACGUGAAGUCGACGACAGUCUCCGCUCAGACACGUAGUUGGGAAGGGGAGCCGCGUCAAGAGCCCCAGACGACUGUGGGGAUCUCAGCCGAGCGCCCCGUCUUCCGAAUGUUGCAACAUUUCACUGUACGAUAUCAAGCAAUGGGAUUUAUUGACGUCACCGUGAAUCUCAGAAACGUCUCUUGGUGUUGGAACCUUUCGAGCGGCUGGCGGCAGAUAGACGUUUUCUAAAAUGUGAUGUUCGUGUGAGCGCUUCAGUUUCAUCGUUGGCAGGAAACACUUGCAGUUGUUUUCCUCGUGACAGACACGCUGCUCGGUGUCAAGAAAACGUCGGCCAGACACCCGAGCUUGAAUACUAACCACGUUCUUUCCGGUAAAGACGGAGCAGCGACUCAGCAGGCGGCUCAGCCCUCGGCGCAAGGCCGUCCGGACGGCUGCCCCGCGUCAGGUGCUGCCCAAGGGCCUCCCGCCCACAUCUUGUUUGGUCAUUAGAGACGGGCGCUCGAGAGCCGAGGUUUGAUACGGUUCAUCACUUCCACUGCUUCGUGGAGGACGUUCUCAGGUGCAUCUGGCAUUGUUUCCACCGUGUGUGCGGUGGGAAGAGCUCCGGGCCUGCUAGUCCGGGUUGCACGGCGGCCCCGCGUCUGCAAAGGGUGGGCCCGUUCACGGGCCGUGGCCCUUGCACGUCAGCGUGUGUGUGUGUGGACGGAGUAGAAGCAGCAAACAGCUCGGUGCUGGAACCCCGGGGAUCUGCGGCCGCACUUGCAGAGCUGCCCCGGGCACUGUGGGUGCCCCGUCCAGGGCCCGGCCGCAGGCCGUCUCAGGGCUGUCUCCC
Molecule: RNA transcript, 2068 nt
Organism: Canis lupus familiaris (dog)
Lineage: Eukaryota; Metazoa; Chordata; Mammalia; Carnivora; Canidae
Gene: PAOX
Gene name: polyamine oxidase
Exons: 6
Source: RefSeq, a predicted model, not a curated record